RNAcentral lists this long non-coding RNA (408 nucleotides) under Phoenix dactylifera (date palm). Its description in RNAcentral is "long non-coding RNA (PDAC_LNC016532)". Lineage: Eukaryota; Viridiplantae; Streptophyta; Magnoliopsida; Arecales; Arecaceae. The record is from RNAcentral.
GAUAUAAAAUAAAAUAUAAAACCCGUGUCCCUUUGUUAGGGCUGCAUCCGGCCCUAGAGAGAAGAUCAGCCCUGCAUGGAGUUGGAGACGGCAGCAGCAGCACAGCAAUGGACUCCCAUCUCUCCUAUCUCCUUCCUUUCUGUGUCUUCUCCCUGCACUGGAUUCGGUGGAAACUUCCUUAGCAUUUCAUCUCUUUUCUUCCCAUAAUGUCCCAAAUUAUUCUCUCACUCUUUAUUCAAUGGGAACUCCCUGAGAAGAGUGAUUGGGAUCAGCCGGCUCACUCCCUCCGAAUGCCUUCAUGGGGUCCGUCUCCUUCCCCUCUUAUAGCCUUCCCGAAUGAAGAGAUAAGGGUAGAUGAACGGCUGACGUGUGCAUAGAUGAUUUGGACGACGCGGGAUAAAGAUUGGA